Molecule: ribosomal RNA, 289 nt
Filed under: Clostridium sp. AM34-9AC
Lineage: Bacteria; Bacillati; Bacillota; Clostridia; Eubacteriales; Clostridiaceae
Description: partial 23S ribosomal RNA
Rfam family: Bacterial large subunit ribosomal RNA
Source: RNAcentral
AGGUCAAGCUAAAAAGAGCGCAGGGUGGAUGCCUUGGCACUAAGAGCCGAUGAAAGACGUGAUAAGCUGCGAUAAGCUACGGGGAGGAGCACAUAUCCAUUGAUCCGUAGAUUUCUGAAUGGGGAAACCCGGCUGAGCAUACCUCAGUCACCGUACACUGAAUCCAUAGGUGUACGGAGGGAACCCGGUGAACUGAAACAUCUAAGUAGCCGGAGGAAGAGAAAGAAAACUCGAUUUUCAAAGUAGCGGCGAGCGAAAUGGAAAGAGCCCAAACCGGAGUGCGUGCACU